GCGCAGCAGUCGCGAAUUUUUCUCAAUAGGGGAAACCCUGAAGGAGCGACGCCGCGUGGAGGAUGAAGGCUUUCGGGUUGUAAACUCCUGUCAUUAGGGAACAAUUGUCAGCGAUUAACUGUCGCGGACUUGAUAGUACCUGAAGAGGAAGGGACGGCUAACUCUGUGCCAGCAGCCGCGGUAAUACAGAGGUCCCAAGCGUUGUUCGGAUUCAUUGGGCGUAAAGGGUGCGUAGGUGGUAGACUAAGUCGGAUGUGAAAUCCCAGGGCUCAACCCUGGAACUGCAUUCGAUACUGGCCUGCUCGAGGACUGGAGAGGAGAUUGGAAUUCAUGGUGUAGCAGUGAAAUGCGUAGAUAUCAUGAGGAAGACCAGUGGCGAAGGCGGAUCUCUGGACAGUUCCUGACACUGAGGCACGAGGCUAGGGGAGCAAACGGGAUUAGAUACCCGCGUAGU
This 454-nucleotide ribosomal RNA is filed under the name uncultured organism. Its description in RNAcentral is "bacterial SSU rRNA". It matches the Rfam family "Bacterial small subunit ribosomal RNA", at positions 346 to 794 of the family's 1533-position model. The record is from RNAcentral.